CCAGGGGGGAAGAAUGGGGAGAGGGAUAGUUAGGGAGUUUGGGGAUCGAUCAGCACACAUUUCUAUAUUUAACAUGGAUAACCCACAAGGACCUACCGUAUAGCACAUGGAACUCUGCCCAAUGUCAUGGGGCAGCCUAGAUGGGAGGGAAGUUUGGUGGGAAAAUGGAUACAUGUAUAUCUAAGGGCUGAGUCCCUUUGCUAUCCACCUAAAACUAUCACAACACUGUUAAUCACUGUUAUUGCAGUGAUGCUCUAAUAAAAAAAUUUGAAGUUUUAAAAAAGAGAGACCUACUUCAGCAUCUCCCCUACAUGACAACUUCCAAUAGAUAUUUUCACGAGCAUUUCUUGAGCCCCUCUCACAUGAAAUAGGGCUACAAAGUGCUACAGCAGCUGUAAAACUUAAUUUUUGCCUCAACAAAUUUUGUUAUCAUUGUGCACCUUAAAGAAAUGUGAGGACUUCCCUGGUGGCCCAGUGGCUAAGACUCCGUACUCCCAAUGCAGGUGGCCUGGGUUCAAUCCCUGGUCAGGGAACUAGAUCNNNNNNNNNNNNNNNNNNNNNNNNNNNNNNNNNNNNNNNNNNNNAAAAAAAAAAAAAGGAAAGAAAAGAAAUGUGGACAAGGGAAGUCAAAAUAUUUAAACUUAUUUGUCCUAAGAAAAAUGUAUCUUUCACUUUGUUACCAUAUUUAAGAUAUGUUUAGCCUCCACACUGAUGACACUAUGAAUUUAUUUUUUUCUUUUUCUUUCCACUGGUUCAGUGACUAUCAUAGGAAUACAACUCCAGUGACCUUUGGCACACAGACACACAACAAGGGCUGCUACAGCACACUGAGAUUUGACACAAACAUGUUCAGGCCGGAGAAUGUGCGUCAUAUUCUACUGGCUGGAGAGAGAGAUUUUGCUUUUCAAGCUCUUAAUCUUUAUACUUAAUUGAAUAAACAUUAGGACACACCCAGCACGUGCCCAAUAUAUUAUAUUAAGCAAUGCAGAUACAAAAAUGAAUAUGUCCCCUGCCCUCAAGAAAAGAGUCAUCAGAAGGCUUAUAAAUCAUAACAGUCUAGAAAA
RNAcentral lists this long non-coding RNA (1064 nucleotides) under Capra hircus (goat). Its description in RNAcentral is "lncRNA (ENSCHIG00010032517.1)". The record is from RNAcentral. Lineage: Eukaryota; Metazoa; Chordata; Mammalia; Artiodactyla; Bovidae.